UACGAAGGGAGCUAGCGUUGUUCGGAAUUACUGGGCGUAAAGGGCGCGUAGGCGGACACUUAAGUCAGGGGUGAAAUCCCAGGGCUCAACCCUGGAAUUGCCUUUGAUACUGGAUGUCUGGAGUUCGGGAGAGGUGAGUGGAGUUCCGAGUGUAGAGGUGAAAUUCGUAGAUAUUCGGAGGAACACCAGAAGCGAAGGCGGCUCACUGGCCCGAUACUGACGCUGAGGCGCGAAAGCGUGGGGAGCAAACAGG
This 253-nucleotide ribosomal RNA is filed under the name uncultured bacterium. Its description in RNAcentral is "partial 16S ribosomal RNA". It matches the Rfam family "Bacterial small subunit ribosomal RNA", at positions 524 to 776 of the family's 1533-position model. The record is from RNAcentral.